This is an RNA transcript of Aethalodelphis obliquidens (Pacific white-sided dolphin), 1865 nucleotides long. It is a transcript of the gene named PCNA clamp associated factor, with no coding region annotated. The record is from RefSeq and is a predicted model, not a curated record. The transcript has 5 exons. NCBI's taxonomy places the organism in Eukaryota, Metazoa, Chordata, Mammalia, Artiodactyla, Delphinidae.
AACUGUGGCGGGAGAUUCGUUUUCGGGGCCUUGUCCCGUGAAACAUCUUCGGCUGGGGAGUCAGUUGGUUGUUCUCAUCUCGUGUUUGAACAUGGUGCGGACUAAAGCAGGCAGUGUCGCUGGCACGUACAGAAAAGUGGUGGCUUCUCGAGCCCCCAGGAAGGUGCUUGGUUCCUCCACCUCCGCCGCUAAUUCCACGCCGCUUUCGUCAAGGAAAGCUGAAAAUAAGUAUGCAGGAGGGAAUCCAGUUUGUGUGCGCCCAACUCCCAAGUGGCAAAAAGGAAUCGGAGAAUUCUUCAGGCUGUCCCCUAAAGAUUCAGAAAAGGAGAAUAGGAUUCCUGAGGAGGCAGGAAGCAGUGGCUUGGGAAAAGCAAAGAGAAAAGAAUGUUGAGACUCCCAAAUUGGACUAGUUUAAAGAGCAUCUGAAGGAUUUGACCAGAUAAUGAAAGCCAAUAUUAAAUCUGCUGGAGUUUCAUGUACAAGACUGGAAAGAGACAACAUCGAGAAUUAAUGAUGUGAUUAAGUAUAACUUAAGAAAUAUGGAUACUUCAAACUGUACCUUGCAAAUAAGAAUAAUUUCAUCUUCAUCUAGAGAAAAAGGAUGAGCUAUGGAAUGGAGAUUCAGUUUCCAUUUUUUUCACGAAAUCUAGAAGGCGGUAAAAUGAUUAGGUCAUGUCCUUUGCCACCUGAUCAUACAGAUGAUGAAAAAGAAUAGAAAUUACUUAUUCACCCUUGACUGAUGUCUCCUGUUUACUCUGGUAUUCUAGGAUGUAAAUUUGCAUAAAUAUAUUUGUUCCAAUUAGCUUUGUUGAAUAAGCAUUUAAUUUAAAAAAUGAGGCUUACAUUUAGUUAUUCAAAAGCAAGUAGUUAUGAUAUUGGAAAGUUUAUAAGAUUAAUUAUGGUUACUUAACUUAGUAUUCAGUAUAAUGCAGUAUUCGGUUUCUUUUACCUGUUAAGCUUUUUCUUGCUAAAAUUAUUGCAUGGUGUUCUACUUAUGAAUCUGCUGUUUUUGAGAUUUGCUUAGAAUUUUGUACUGUUGCCAUUUUUAUUGGCAUUUGAUUAUUGGAGUGAUGCCAUAUUUUUGUUCCUUUUAUUUGCUUUAAAAAGCAGAGGUAGAUUUUUGCACAUUAAAAAAUUCAGUAUUAAUUAAACUGAACCCAUACCCUUUUUAAGAAAGGGGGCCAAAAAUGGAAUGUUGAAAAAAUUUGGAUGGCCGUCUACCUUCUUAGAAAAAUUUAAGGGCAGUUUUGUCUUAAGGAUUUAAAGGGUUGAUGAAGCUUCUAAAAACAACAACAAAAAGAUAAAAUACUCGCAUAGAAUUGGGCAGGAAAAUUCCAUAGACUACAUUAAAAGAGAGGAAUUUUCCUAGAAUAUGCAAUUGGCUUAGUGUCAUAAAAUAUUACUCUUUGGGCCUAUACUUUUCAAGUUGGAAAUCAAUAAAAUAUGAAAGGCAAAUCAUGCCAUAAGCCCAGAACUAUGUCUAAAGUCCUUAGAGCUACUAUUAUAUUUUUCAAGAUAGUCAGGGGUAUAAUUGAAGAGGUGGGUAUAAUAGUAUUUAUAACUGAUAUUCUUGCUUCCUCAUCAGGCUUUUUGCUCACUGACAACCUGUUAUCAAAACUAACCAUGUUUAACAGGAAUGCUUUCCUGAAGUUUGUUUUUAAUAAAUGAAUACUCAUUGUCACAAUACUAUCCAUAUGUGUGCUUUCUAAGAUUAUAUCCUACUAGGUAUUUCUAUUUUAUUCCUUCCAAAUGCAAAUCACUGUACUGACCUGAUUUUAUCAACUUCCAAAAUAAGUCCUUAUGACUGUAGAUUGUAUUUUUUGCUUUGUCUUUUAGAGGUGGAUAUUAAACGUAAUGAUACUGAA